Molecule: ribosomal RNA, 684 nt
Filed under: Sabatieria sp. 5 TJP-2019
Lineage: Eukaryota; Metazoa; Nematoda; Chromadorea; Araeolaimida; Comesomatidae
Description: SSU rRNA
Rfam family: Eukaryotic small subunit ribosomal RNA
Source: RNAcentral
AUGCAUGUCUAAGCAGAAGCCGAACAAUGGCAAAGCCGCGAAUGGCUCAUUACAACAGCCGUCGUUUCUUGGAUCUCUUAUUUUACUUGGAUAACUGUGGUAAUUCUAGAGCUAAUACACGCACUAAAGCUCCGACCUCACGGGACGAGCGCAUUUAUUAGAACAAAACCAAUCGGGUUUCGGCCCGUCCGUUGGUGACUCUGAAUAACUACGCCGAUCGCACGGUCUCGUACCGGCGACAUAUCUUUCAAGUGUCUGCCUUAUCAACUUUCGAUGGUAGUUUAUGUGCCUACCAUGGUUGUAACGGGUAACGGAGAAUAAGGGUUCGACUCCGGAGAGGGAGCCUGAGAAACGGCUACCACAUCCAAGGAAGGCAGCAGGCGCGCAAAUUACCCACUCUCGGCACGAGGAGGUAGUGACGAAAAAUAACGAGACGGAUCUCUUUGAGGCCCGUUAUCGGAAUGAGAACAAUUCAAAUCCUUUAACGAGGAUCUAGCGGAGGGCAAGUCUGGUGCCAGCAGCCGCGGUAAUUCCAGCUCCGCAGGUGUAUAUCUAUGCUGCUGCGGUUAAAAAGCUCGUAGUUGGAUCUGCGUGCUCGGAACUGGUUGGCUCACUGAGUUUAAACUGGUCUCCGGCGCUUUAUCGGCUGGUUUUCCCUUGAUGCUCUUAACCGGGUGUCUUGGG